This is a non-coding RNA of Pelobates cultripes (western spadefoot toad), 645 nucleotides long. Lineage: Eukaryota; Metazoa; Chordata; Amphibia; Anura; Pelobatidae. The record is from the annotation of a GenBank genome assembly.
AUUAGGCCGGAAUUUGUGGGAGGAGUAAGUCCCCUACUUAAACUCCCAGCCCCUACUCACCUCUGCCGGUUCAGUUGAUUGUCUAUCUCCAUAGCAAACAGCACUUCCGGUCCGAGCUUCCCGCCAAACGGCUCCAGUAUCCUCAAGAGGUGUCCAGUGGAAUCCUCCGUCCGUCCUGCAGCCCUGCCACCAGCCUUCUUCCCGGCCGCGGUACUUUGCUUCCGGUCACGAGACCGGCACGCUCACGUAAGCUUGUGAGGGAAAUAGUGUUCGGCUAUUUCCCUCCGUUCGGGCCUAAAAACAUAGGGGUAGGCUCCCUUUUACUAUCACAUUAUCAAUUUUCGUAUACUUACCUAUUCGUGCAUUUCCGCCUUCGCGCCACUAAACUAGACGAACGCUCGCUAUACUUACGUUUCAUAGGGGCUUUCGCACGAUCUAAACUGCCGAACUACAUACGAACAUAACUCUAAAGCUAAUCUUUUCAAUUCUGUUUUUCGUUCGGUCAUACGCAGGAACCUAUGUACUUAUUACUUACCCGUUCGGGCAUUUAAUUGUGUAAACCUGUUCACCCCUCGCUAACUUUCCUAAUUCAUGCUAUUGCUAUUCGCGCGGGAGUAAACGAAUGCACAUUAUACUUAACCUAAG